CCUACGGGAGGCAGCAGUGAGGAAUAUUGGUCAAUGGCCGUAAGGCUGAACCAGCCAAGUCGCGUGAAGGAAGAAGGAUCUAUGGUUUGUAAACUUCUUUUAUAGGGGAAUAAAGGUAUCCACGUGUGGAUAUUUGCAUGUACCCUAUGAAUAAGCAUCGGCUAACUCCGUGCCAGCAGCCGCGGUAAUACGGAGGAUGCGAGCGUUAUCCGGAUUUAUUGGGUUUAAAGGGUGCGUAGGUUGUUUUUUAAGUCAGCGGUGAAAGUUUGUGGCUCAACCAUAAAAUUGCCGUUGAAACUGGAAGACGUGAGUGUGUUUGAGGUAGGCGGAAUGCGUGGUGUAGCGGUGAAAUGCAUAGAUAUCACGCAGAAAUCCGAUUGCGAAGGCAGCUUACUAAGCCAUAACUGACACUGAAGCACGAAAGCGUGGGGAUCAAACAGGAUUAGAUACCCGAGUAGUC
RNAcentral lists this ribosomal RNA (460 nucleotides) under uncultured bacterium. Its description in RNAcentral is "partial 16S ribosomal RNA". It matches the Rfam family "Bacterial small subunit ribosomal RNA", at positions 338 to 795 of the family's 1533-position model. The record is from RNAcentral.